Salvelinus sp. IW2-2015 is the source of this 916-nucleotide long non-coding RNA. RefSeq lists it as uncharacterized. Lineage: Eukaryota; Metazoa; Chordata; Actinopteri; Salmoniformes; Salmonidae. The record is from RefSeq and is a predicted model, not a curated record.
GAAGGUUUUGAUUAGAGUCAUAUUUUGGAUCCAGCAAGAUUCUCAGUGAGAAAAGAGUUUGCUUUUGAGAGUGAAGACUAUGAGGAUGUUGAGACCAAUGGAAAUGAAAUGUUCAGACCAACGGAAAUGAGAGACUUGAAUAAACAUAGAUCAGAGAGUGGUGGAGACAAGGAAAAUUGCCAGCGAUGUCGUGUGUCUUCCCUGUCCUACGAUGACAUUGCUGAGGAGGAGAGCAUCCCAGCUCAACCCUUAACCAGUAGAAGAUAUGGAACCAGUAGCCUGAAGCCCAGGGGCAGGAGCAGGAGCAGGAGCUGCUGCUAACCACAGACAUGUUACCUACGAGGUGGAGGAAGAUCCACAGAAGAGCUACGAGGAUGUGAUGUCGAUGACCACGCCAGCUGAGGAGACCAGAGAGGAGGUUGCAUAAGUCAUUGAGAGACCCAAACCCAAGGAGCUGUAUGUCCAUGCUGAUGAGGAGGGUGACCUGGAGCCUAUUGGAGAGGGGAUCCCAAAGUUGGCGUCAAAAAUCAGGGUGUCUGCAUAAGAACCUCACGUUCCCUCUUCAUCGGUCCACUUAUAAUAUUGCUGUUUCUUUUUCAUAUAUGAAGACACAAUUAUUAGAAUUACUUGACUCUUUUUUGUCUCUAACAUUUGAUAUUGUUUCAAAUGUUUUGAUUCAUUUGACAUGUUUUGAUUAGUUUGUUGUGCCAUGGCCUGUAAAGCAGAACUGACUGACACAGAACAGAAUCAAUGGUGUCUAUCUUACAACAACACAUGUAUUAAUGAAACAUGAUCUUGCUAUGUGGUAGUUCCUUCCAUAAAGAACAGCAUGUGAAAAGUCUUAAUUGCUUUUUAUGCGUCAAAGCUCAUAGCCAACAGCUGUUUUUCAAUUACUUUUAUCGUAAUURUUUUUACU